Molecule: long non-coding RNA, 1151 nt
Organism: Biomphalaria glabrata
Lineage: Eukaryota; Metazoa; Mollusca; Gastropoda; Planorbidae
Exons: 7
Source: RefSeq, a predicted model, not a curated record
CAUUCCUUUUUCAGGAAACAAUUAUUCUGUUCGGAAGUUACUUUUUUAGAAGAUAAACACAAAGUGUAGACAAGGUCCGGAUAUUAGCAAGUGAUCAUAAACAAAUAACUAUGGAAAAAAAUAUUUAGGUUUACUCUAGAUCUAGAUCUAAUUGUUAAAAAAAAAAACAACCUAGAACUAAAUCAAGAUCUAGAUCUAAUUAUAGCAGGCCGACAUCAAACAGAGAACGAUUUAUUAGCGCUUAGACUGAAGAAGUGAGCGUGGCGCCCUCUGGUGUCUGCCUUGUUACGUUCAGCUUGUUAGACAUUUUUGUGUUUUGUUCGGUGCCUUGCUCCCAGUAGUAGAUCAAUACACAGAUCUAGAACUAAGUGGGUAGCUCUGCAAGUCGACAACCUAGUGGACGCUCUCGACCACGUGAUCUUGAAGAGGUUUGUCGUCGUACUCUAGUUCUACGGUGGCAUGGGGUGAACUGGAAAGCUUCUUUAACCAGUGUUUCCAAGUUCGAAUUCUAGUGAAAGUGAUCUACCAGAAAAAGACGCCAAAAUUUAGACACAAAGGCUCUUGUCUUUAAAAAAAAAGUUAAAGAGGUACGUGACUUGAAGUGUGACACCAAGUGCUAUGGCUGACAGUGACAUGGUUGUCAGAGCAGGACCGUAGAUACCUCGCUUCCCGCUCUUUUCAAACCAGAAUCCCUACUAUUAGCCUACAGUGUUAAUGGAUGGACAUGUGAAAAAAACAAAAACGAUGAACGCCAGAUAGUGUGUCAAAGACACAAAUAUUGAGUUAUUUAUUUCAAGAUGAUGACGUCUUAGCAGGUUCAAACUCGGGACUAUUGUGAUGAAAGCUGGAAACGCCUACCACACCACCUGGAAGUCAUCUGGUUAAUGGAAUACUCUGGUCAGGUGUGGAACCAGUGUUUGUUUUCCGCGUCAUUGACGCAAUUGACCAUCACAGACAAUCAAUACCACACAGGAUGUAAACAUUGAAUACAGUCCAACUUCCGGAUGUAAACUUCACAUGCUGGAUUGAAACUGUGGCUCAGAACGUUUGGCUAUAGCUCUUGUUAGAAUGUUGUGUAUUUUAUGUGUGCUGGCACAGUUGUAAGACAAAUGUCAUCAAAGAUAAUAAAGAUAUUAUCAUUAUUAUUGUUA